CCCGCCGCCCCCGCCUUCCUCUCCCUCAUCUCUUCUUUCUCCCAGAUCCGAUCGAAGCACCGCCGACCUCUCCACCAUCUCCUCCCCGUCCCCCAUCGCGCCGCCAUCCACCUCGUUGCCUCCCAUCUCCUCCCGCCCCUCCCAUCCUCACCUUCCCCUUUCGCCCCUCCUUCCCGGACCCCGACGGCGCCCGCAUCGGCUCCGGCGCCGCCACGCUCCACACCGUCGCCUCCCUCGCCCGCCACCUCAUCUCCCAGGCCACCAAGGAAGAGAUCGCCGAAUUCCUCCCCGAAGCGACCGGCUCCUUCGCAUCCGUGGUGUGCUUCAUGUCCACCAAGCACGUGAUGCUGCUGCACGCCGGCGGCGACAGCAAGAGGGUUCCGUUGGCGAAGCCCAUGGGGAAGGCUUUCCUGCCGGUGCCUUACUUGGCCGGGGGAACCCCGACGGGCCUAUCCCACUGCUCUUCGACCACAUCAGGGGGGUCCAGCGCAAGGCAAUCAUUCAAGACCGGCAUCGGCAAGUCCAACCUACUCUCCCGCUUCACCCGCAACGAGUUCAGCCUCGAGUCCAAGUCCACCAUCAGGGGGGUUGAGUUCGCCACCCGCUCCCUCUAGGUCGAUGGCAAGGUCGUCAAGGCCCAGAUUUGGGACACCGCCGGCUCUUCCUAUCCCCGUCUGUUCGGCGGCAGUUGUGGAGACCAUGGAUGGGACUAUCGUAGAAGCACCAUUUUUCCUUUUUCAGUUAGAUGCCUUUGGAUUGUUUGGCAUCAGACCCUGUUCAAGGAGAUUUGCUUUUGGUAGAUGCAGAGUAUAGAUUAAGUAUUCCAUAAAAUUCACCACAUGAGUAUACUACUUAAUAGCCAAUUUCCAUGGUCAAAUUCAGCCCUGGAUGCAAAUGGACAUCAUGAUUCUGUUAUGCGCCAAGGUCGGUGGUUGAAUUCUCGAUUAGUGUGGAACACAAUGGACAGGGCAAAAUCAGGUCCAAUUUUUUUUCUUGAAUAGCCUACGGUCUUCACUGGACGAUUUUUCUUUUCUUCUUUGACCCAGUUGAUUGUAUGGCACUGAAAUAUAAAUAUUUGUUUGCUCGUCCUCCCUUUUGUAAAUUCAUACCAUGCCUGGAAAUGUUUGAUUGGCCAUCUUCUUCUUAUUGAUCCAUAAAAACUUGACAUUUUUGUUGUAAAAACAUACCUGUGAUAAUCUAGUAAGAACUUGUUGUGUUUGGGUUUGUGGAUCUUAAAAAAUAUAUCAUCUAUGCUUUUAUCCUUGAACUAUUGCUAUGGUGAUGAAUGCCCAUGCGUACCUUUGUUGUCACUUUUUAGGGUGUGCGUAGUUUGUUAAUUCAGGUAACUACAGGAUAUCCUUACUCGUACAAAAUGCCCAGUUGUUGUUCUUGUAAAUAUAGGCGUGCCUACCAUCGCCCCAUCGGCACCAUCACCAAACAGAAAAGGGCUCUAGCCUCUUCUUAUGACAAGAAAAAUAGGCGUUGUUACCUGUUUGCAUCUGAGAUUGCAUAAUAUUGGAGGAAUAUGCUUAAUUUUCCUGUGCAUUUGGCAGAUAUAGUAGUGUUUGUUCUGCUACUAGCAUCAUGUACUGUUUAGUUGGUAUUUGGUAUUAUAUAUUUUUCUUCUAGCCUAUAAUUAUUCAUUUUAGAUCUUGUUGCAUGAUGUGUCAUGUAUAUGACUAGUACUACUAUUUCUGCAUGCUUAUAUGUUUGUGCAUUGACUAGCUUAGCAAGGACAGUAGUGUUCUGUUGAAAUUUGAGGCAUAUCUUUGUUCAUAAGUGUCUUUGUUCCCAUGCAGUGUGCUUUGAAACGUAGGGUUAAUCUUGUGGAGGAGUAGGGCGAAUCGGACAUUGUCUCGCUUGUGCCGCUGUGAUAACAUGCUGAAUGUUGUUCAUGCGACUGUGUAUGAAUCUUCUAUACGUGCAGAUUAUCAGGCAUUUUUAAUGCUGCUGAGAGUGUAACAGAGUGUUUCAACCAACAGCAGAAAAAUCAGUUUGAUGUAUGGAUGCUUCAUGCGGUGGUAGCUAAUGAUCUCUGUACUGAUGACAGUUUUGUGAUCAGGAUAUAAUGUCGUCGAGGUGGCUGCUGCCCUUACCAAAGAUCAGAAGAAGCCUGGAUAUGUGCACCAAGUUUUAGUUGAUGUUGCCACCAAGUUUUGGUGCAUGUGUAUUUGUUUUUUGAUUGUAUGUACACUUGUUGGAUCGUCCAGUAUGUGCUACUGUACAUGUGCUAUUGUGAGUUUCAUUGAUCGAUUUUUGGAUUUGAUCAUUUAAUUGAAAGAAUGUUUUGAUUGUUGCUGUUGAAAUGUGUAAAUUUGAAAUCUAUGAAUGAAAAGGUUUGGAUCUUC
Triticum dicoccoides is the source of this 2348-nucleotide long non-coding RNA. RefSeq lists it as uncharacterized. The record is from RefSeq and is a predicted model, not a curated record. Lineage: Eukaryota; Viridiplantae; Streptophyta; Magnoliopsida; Poales; Poaceae. The transcript has 6 exons.